UUCCUACGGGGGGCAGCAGUGAGGAAUAUUGGUCAAUGGGCGGGAGCCUGAACCAGCCAAGUCGCGUGAGGGAUGACGGCCCUAUGGGUUGUAAACCUCUUUUGCCGGGGAGCAAAGUGCCGCACGUGUGCGGUUUGGAGAGUACCCGGAGAAAAAGCAUCGGCUAACUCCGUGCCAGCAGCCGCGGUAAUACGGAGGAUGCGAGCGUUAUCCGGAUUUAUUGGGUUUAAAGGGUGCGUAGGCGGGCUUUUAAGUCAGCGGUAAAAAUUCGGGGCUCAACCCCGUCCGGCCGUUGAAACUGGGGG
This 305-nucleotide ribosomal RNA is filed under the name uncultured bacterium. Its description in RNAcentral is "bacterial SSU rRNA". It matches the Rfam family "Bacterial small subunit ribosomal RNA", at positions 336 to 639 of the family's 1533-position model. The record is from RNAcentral.